Molecule: long non-coding RNA, 221 nt
Filed under: Mytilus galloprovincialis (Mediterranean mussel)
Lineage: Eukaryota; Metazoa; Mollusca; Bivalvia; Mytilida; Mytilidae
Source: RNAcentral
CAAAGUUCUGGUAAUAUUCUUUUUGUUCCCAAGUAUAAAACGGAACACUGUGCACUCUUUUUAUUUAUAUCUAAAAUUAACCCGUCUACACAUUAAAAACUUUUGAAAAGCUUAUAUAAAAAAGAAGAUGUGAUAUGAUUGCCUAUGAGACAACUCUCUACAAGAGACCAAAUGACACAACUAUAGGUCACCGUACGGCCUUCAACAAGGAACAAAGCCCA